Molecule: long non-coding RNA, 1804 nt
Organism: Acanthaster planci (crown-of-thorns starfish)
Lineage: Eukaryota; Metazoa; Echinodermata; Asteroidea; Valvatida; Acanthasteridae
Source: RefSeq, a predicted model, not a curated record
UGUCACUUCGCAAGACGCACACACGGCAAUCAACACGUGGGUGCGGUGGGCACUUGCCUAUCAGUGAUGAUGCUGAGCGCAGGGUAGUCAUUUUAAUCUUUAUUUUCGCGACUUUGUGUAUCACCAAGACCUACGUGAUACGGAAUCUUCACUUACAGUGAACAUGUACAACUCCAGACACCAGCAGAUGUGGUGAUCUCUGAAGACGUUAAUUACUGCACACCACAUUAGGUCUGCCUUGUAAUCGAAUGCACCCUAUACGCCUGCAUUCCAUUGGCACACUUUGAUGCUGGACCCCACACCUGCAUACACACCUGUCAGCUGGCAAUCAGGUAAGAGAUAACUGGACGAUGGAGACAUAUCAAGCCCUUUAUUGUCAUAAUAUCUGCUCUUGGAACAUUGAUGAAGGUCCAAGCAAGAUGGUCAGAUUGUGGAAUCAAAGAGGGCCAGCAGUCUACAACCUUUAGAAAAGGAGUUUAAAAAAAUGGGCAAGUGGAUAGAAGCAGAGAUGGUAGUGAGAGUGGAAGAAACCUGUGCUGUCCAUCCAGGAGAAGUCUGUCUUCUGCAGUGACUGUAAGAUGUCUUUUCAAGCAUUGAAGAUGAUAUUGAGGCCAUACUUUGAUGUCACAGAGAGAUGCACAAAGUAACGUCAAGGCAAUAUUGAAGAUUUCAAAUACAGACACUCAAGCCAGUAGGGGUCCUAAGAUAUUACCUGAACCAAAUCACUUUCAGGGUUGGCAACUUAACAAUCACCAUUGUGCAGUCAAUUGUGUGUGUUCAUUUGACCCUCAAAGAACCAGGGAGUAGAUCUGGCCCCUCGAGAUUUUGACUGAUAUCGCCACAGUACAAUAGUCCAACCUUGAGGAGUUGUUCAGUAACUCUUUUGUGGUCUUUCUGACAUUAGUUCUGUGAAAAUUGCACAUGCAUGUAUCUUUCUCGUUACAAGCACCUCUUUUUCCUGAAAGAAAAAGCAAAAAAACCAAAAAGACCCACAAGUCUGGUCCAAGCCAAUUUGGCUCGUCAGGCCGGUGUUUAUUGCGGUUUCCUUGGCAUGAAAUGACUGAGAAUAUUUCUUUUUCCCCCUGGAUGGGAUGCCAGUCCAACACAAGUUGCUUCCCACACUAAUACUGGUACCCAUUUAUACUCCUAUGUGGAGAGGGGCAAGCAGGGGUGAGGUGGCUUGCCAAGGGCCACAACAUACUGCCAGCAGCUGGAUUCGAACCUCCAACCCUAUGAUUGGAAGCCACAAACCCUAAACACUUGGUCACAUGAAAGAGGUCAGCCAUAUUUGUAAAAAAUUUUUAUGAGCCCAGCCUUUAGUUUCAUAAAGCAGCUUUUUACAGUCACUUUGACAGCAGUUCUGUGAAAAUCACACAAACUGUUCUCAUGCAGCACCCACUUUCCCGAAACAGGUCGACCAAAAAAACGUACCUGCACUUUCAAUUGCUGUGCUGAGUGCACACAGUGUCUGGUACACUUGUAACCUUCAACUUCAAAUGAUCAAAUCAACUAUAAGUUCUAUGUCAGAUUGAUUUGAAACUCCACAUCUGUAUUGAUUAGGAGUGUUUUACAUGCACGCCGAGUGUUGAAAAAAAUCGGGCUUGGGACAGCCAAGAUCUCGGCUGUGAUAUGGUACAAAAUAGCCUGCCAACUUCAGGGUUAACACUGGCAUAAAAUUGACAGAACUUGAUGACAUUUAUUGGUUUUUCCUGGCACUCCUGACAGGAGGAAUUUCCUUUGUGUUUGUUUAAUGGCACAAUGGUUAUGGAAAAAGGAAAAAGAACUGAACACUGCCUUAAUGGCA